AGAGUUUGAUCCUGGCUCAGAUUGAACGCUGGCGGCAUGCCUUACACAUGCAAGUCGAACGGUAACGCGGGGCAACCUGGCGACGAGUGGCGAACGGGUGAGUAACGCAUCGGAACGUGCCCAGUAGUGGGGGAUAGCCCGGCGAAAGCCGGAUUAAUACCGCAUACGACCUACGGGUGAAAGCGGGGGACCGUAAGGCCUCGCGCUAUUGGAGCGGCCGAUGUCAGAUUAGGUAGUUGGUGGGGUAAAAGCCUACCAAGCCGACGAUCUGUAGCUGGUCUGAGAGGACGACCAGCCACACUGGGACUGAGACACGGCCCAGACUCCUACGGGAGGCAGCAGUGGGGAAUUUUGGACAAUGGGCGCAAGCCUGAUCCAGCCAUGCCGCGUGCGGGAUGAAGGCCUUCGGGUUGUAAACCGCUUUUGUCAGGGAAGAAACGCUCCGGGCCAAUACCCUGGGGUAAUGACGGUACCUGAAGAAUAAGCACCGGCUAACUACGUGCCAGCAGCCGCGGUAAUACGUAGGGUGCAAGCGUUAAUCGGAAUUACUGGGCGUAAAGCGUGCGCAGGCGGUUNUGUAAGACAGAGGUGAAAUCCCCGGG
This 602-nucleotide ribosomal RNA is filed under the name uncultured freshwater bacterium. Its description in RNAcentral is "bacterial SSU rRNA". It matches the Rfam family "Bacterial small subunit ribosomal RNA", at positions 8 to 607 of the family's 1533-position model. The record is from RNAcentral.